GGGCGUAGCUCAAUGGUAGAGCCUCUGCCUUCCAAGCAGAUCACGCGGGUUCGAUUCCCGUCGCCC
RNAcentral lists this transfer RNA (66 nucleotides) under human gut metagenome. It matches the Rfam family "tRNA". Rfam says of the family: Transfer RNA (tRNA) molecules are approximately 80 nucleotides in length. Their secondary structure includes four short double-helical elements and three loops (D, anti-codon, and T loops). The record is from RNAcentral.